RNAcentral lists this small nucleolar RNA (106 nucleotides) under Suricata suricatta (meerkat). RNAcentral's name for it is "Small nucleolar RNA U13 (ENSSSUG00005014812.1)". It matches the Rfam family "Small nucleolar RNA U13". The record is from Rfam by way of RNAcentral. Lineage: Eukaryota; Metazoa; Chordata; Mammalia; Carnivora; Herpestidae.
AUCCUUUUGUAGUUCAGAAGCAUGUUGAUUGGGUGUGCAUGCCAUUGUCUGACAUGUGUUUCCCUUAAACCUUGCUAUACGACCUCAGGACAUUACCCAUCUGAUG